Molecule: ribosomal RNA, 571 nt
Filed under: uncultured fungus
Lineage: Eukaryota; Fungi
Description: eukaryotic LSU rRNA
Rfam family: 5.8S ribosomal RNA (bases 208-361)
Source: RNAcentral
CGUAACAAGGUCUCCGUAGGUGAACCUGCGGANGNAUCAUUACACAAAUAUGAAGGCGGGCUGGAACCUCUCGGGGUUACAGCCUUGCUGAAUUAUUCACCCUUGUCUUUUGCGUACUUCUUGUUUCCUUGGUGGGUUCGCCCACCACUAGGACAAACAUAAACCUUUUGUAAUUGCAAUCAGCGUCAGUAACAAAUUAAUAAUUACAACUUUCAACAACGGAUCUCUUGGUUCUGGCAUCGAUGAAGAACGCAGCGAAAUGCGAUAAGUAGUGUGAAUUGCAGAAUUCAGUGAAUCAUCGAAUCUUUGAACGCACAUUGCGCCCUUUGGUAUUCCANAGGGCAUGCCUGUUCGAGCGUCAUUUGUACCCUCAAGCUUUGCUUGGUGUUGGGCGUCUUGUCUCUAGCUUUGCUGGAGACUCGCCUUAAAGUAAUUGGCAGCCGGCCUACUGGUUUCGGAGCGCAGCACAAGUCGCACUCUCUAUCAGCAAAGGUCUAGCAUCCAUUAAGCCUUUUUUUUCAAUUUUUGACCUCGGAUCAGGUAGGGAUACCCGCUGAACUUAAGCAUAUCA